UGCGGGGUGGAGCAGCCUGGUAGCUCGUCGGGCUCAUAACCCGAAGGUCGGCAGUUCAAAUCUGCCCCCCGCUACCA
Molecule: transfer RNA, 77 nt
Filed under: Pseudomonadota bacterium
Lineage: Bacteria; Pseudomonadati; Pseudomonadota
Also listed under: 1 other name
Description: tRNA-Met
Rfam family: tRNA
About the family: Transfer RNA (tRNA) molecules are approximately 80 nucleotides in length.
Source: RNAcentral